GCUAAAAUUGUUUAUAUAUAACAUUAGUUGUUCACACACCAUCAUGAACAUUGUUCAUACAUCACUGUUCACAUAUUUGGAGCCGAUGUGUCAGUCGAACGCUUCGGUCGAUCUCGUCCACUCGCUCGCGGCAGACAAUUAAAUCGGAAGGAUCUACCAUGUUAUAUCUUUCCUCAUCCCCGCGUCCUUCUUUUUUCCUUUUCCCCAACCUCCCGAUUGUCAUGGGAAAUCCUACCCCGGCGAUCUCCUCUAGCGACCCCGUCUUCUUCUCCCGUGAGCACCCUCGAACUCCCCUCGAUUCCCCUCUCUCAACUGCUCCAUGACGACCAGAGAAGUUGCAUCCAUGAACGAAGGCAUAAUUUACUACAUGUUUCAACCGGCAACGAUAUUUGCUACAACCGGCACCGCAUUUUGCUACCACCGGUGUCGCAUUUUGCUACAUCGCACAUGGCGUCGCGAUUUUUGCUAAAUGCGGUGUUUCAUUUUGCUACAACCGGCAUAAUGUUUUGCUACAUCCAUCACAACUGAGCUGCAUCCGACGGCGAGGGCGACGAUCAGGGAUGACGGGUGGCGAGAGAAGAUGAGGAGGCGAGGCGUGGGGUGCGGCGUGUGCCGGGACGACGCCUUCCUUUUUUCUGUGUUUCUCCCUGUGUGGGAGGUUAAAGAUGGGAUGCAGAAAAGGAGGAAGGAGAUCUAACGGCUACGCGCGUGCAAAUUAAACGGAUCCGGACUGACCGGCCGAGAAGAUUGGACCGGUAAAGACGAAGAACACUGUCUAAAGUUGAGACCGUUAUUUUAAAAUAGAGGGAGUACUUAACAUAUAUAAUCAAUCACCCAUUAUGUAGUAGCUACAGUGCAUUCCAUCAUGCAUCAUUUUUUUUAGCGGGGAUCAUGCAUCUCUGAACUAUACUUAAAUCGCGUGAUCACGGGCUAACGUCUUGUAGUUUCAUGUGACCUUCAUGAAAUCCUUGGGCCACGCAACUCAAAUAGUUUGACAUUGUGGCCGGUUAGUGGUAACAAAUCGACCACACACUUAUAAAAGUUUAUGAACUAUGCAUAGUAGUAGAUUAGUUGUAAAUAGGAUCUGUGGACGAAACCUCAUUAAUACCGACAUUGACACAGAUCUGAUGCGACUGAAUAUGUUGACAUCCCAAUGCAAACCGGACCCUGUUAUCCCGUUUAAGCCCACUUAUCGCUCUACCAGCUUAAUAAAAUAAAUCGUAGAAAAUGAAUUAUUGAGCUAACUAAAACUAACUAAACAGGACUUGCAGGCGCCGUUUAUUACGCCAUUUACAUAUCUAUCCCAUAAGUCUAGCGAAAUGAGCGACAGUACG
RNAcentral lists this long non-coding RNA (1334 nucleotides) under Hordeum vulgare. Its description in RNAcentral is "long non-coding RNA (HVUL_LNC019897)". The record is from RNAcentral. Lineage: Eukaryota; Viridiplantae; Streptophyta; Magnoliopsida; Poales; Poaceae.